Molecule: long non-coding RNA, 343 nt
Organism: Grammomys surdaster
Lineage: Eukaryota; Metazoa; Chordata; Mammalia; Rodentia; Muridae
Exons: 2
Source: RefSeq, a predicted model, not a curated record
UUGAUUUCAAUUUUGUAAAGUACUUGAAAUUACAAAGGAUCUUGUUUUUGCCUUGUGGUGUUACAGAUGUCUUUUAUACAAAUCAUGAUUGACAAGAAUGUAGAUGUUUUGGGAGACGAUGACAGUACAAUUUGUAAGGAUAUUCAAAAGAGAUCUGAUGACCUUAAGAUGUCACUAAAUACUGCUGGAUGUGACAAUGGAAAAACUUCAACAUAUAAUGUUCCACAGAGGAACUAUUUGUUACAAAUAGUUUCACUCAUUAUACUUACUUUUAUGUUGUGUAUCGUAUAUAUUUAUCUAUUAUAAUGAAUUUUAAUAAAGUGUAUUAUUGCUUUGACUCCAA